UAGGGAAUCUUCGGCAAUGGACGAAAGUCUGACCGAGCAACGCCGCGUGCGUGAAGAAGGUUUUCGGUUCGUAAAACUCUGUUGUUAGAGAAGAACAAGGACGUUAGUAACUGAACGUCCCCUGACGGUAUCUAACCAGAAAGCCACGGCUAACUACGUGCCAGCAGCCGCGGUAAUACGUAGGUGGCAAGCGUUGUCCGGAUUUAUUGGGCGUAAAGCGAGCGCAGGCGGUUUCUUAAGUCUGAUGUGAAAGCCCCCGGCUCAACCGGGGAGGGUGAUUGGAAACUGGGAGACUUGAGUGCAGAAGAGGAGAGUGGAAUUCCAUGUGUAGAGGUGAAAUGCGUAGAUAUAUGAAGGAACACCAGUGGCGAAGGCGGCUCUCUGGUCUGUAACUGACGGUGAGGCUCGAAAGCGUGGGGAGCAAACAGG
Molecule: ribosomal RNA, 429 nt
Filed under: Gemmatimonadota bacterium
Lineage: Bacteria; Pseudomonadati; Gemmatimonadota
Description: Gemmatimonadetes bacterium partial 16S ribosomal RNA
Rfam family: Bacterial small subunit ribosomal RNA
Source: RNAcentral